UACGUAGGGGGCAAGCGUUGUCCGGAUUUAUUGGGCGUAAAGAGCGUGUAGGCGGCUUUACAGGUCCGUUGUGAAAACUCGAGGCUCAACCUCGAGACGCCGGUGGAAACCGUAAAGCUAGAGUCCGGAAGAGGAGAGUGGAAUUCCUGGUGUAGCGGUGAAAUGCGCAGGAUAAUCAGGAGGAACACCCGUGCGAAAGCGGCUCUCGUGGGACGGUACUGACGCUGAGGAGCGAAAGCGUGGGGAGCGAACAGG
This 255-nucleotide ribosomal RNA is filed under the name uncultured bacterium. RNAcentral describes it as "partial 16S ribosomal RNA". It matches the Rfam family "Bacterial small subunit ribosomal RNA", at positions 524 to 776 of the family's 1533-position model. The record is from RNAcentral.